GGGUUUAAAGGGUGCGUAGGCGGACUAUUAAGUCAGUGGUGAAAUCUUGCAGCUUAACUGUAAAACUGCCAUUGAUACUGAUAGUCUUGAAUUUAGUUGAGGUAGGCGGAAUGUGUUGUGUAGCGGUGAAAUGCAUAGAUAUAACACAGAACACCGAUUGCGAAGGCAGCUUACUAAGCUAUAAUUGACGCUGAUGCACGAAAGCGUGGGGAGCGAACAGGAUUAGAUACCCUGGUAGUCCACGCCGUAAACGAUGAUUACUCGUUGUUGGCAAUACAUGGUCAGCGACUGAGCGAAAGCAUUAAGUAAUCCACCUGGGGAGUACGUUGGCAACAAUGAAACUCAAAGGAAUUGACGGGGGCCCGCACAAGCGGAGGAACAUGUGGUUUAAUUCGAUGAUACGCGAGGAACCUUACCUGGACUUAAAUGUAGAUUGCAUGAAGCAGAGAUGCUUCUUUCUUCGGACUAUUUACAAGGUGCUGCAUGGUUGUCGUCAGCUCGUGCCGUGAGGUGUCGGGUUAAGUCCCAUAACGAGCGCAACCCCUGUUGUUAGUUACCAGCACGUCAAGGUGGGGACUCUAACAAGACUGCCGGUGUAAACCGCGAGGAAGGUGGGGAUGACGUCAAAUCAGCACGGCCCUUACGUCCAGGGCUACACACGUGUUACAAUGGCAGGUACAAAGGGCAGCUACAUAGCGAUAUGAUGCUAAUCUCAAAAGCCUGUCUCAGCUCGGAUCGGAGUCUGCAACUCGACUCCGUGAAGCUGGAUUCGCUAGUAAUCGCGUAUCAGCAAUGACGCGGUGAAUACGUUCCCGGGCCUUGUACACAC
This 829-nucleotide ribosomal RNA is filed under the name uncultured Bacteroidota bacterium. RNAcentral describes it as "bacterial SSU rRNA". It matches the Rfam family "Bacterial small subunit ribosomal RNA", at positions 556 to 1390 of the family's 1533-position model. Lineage: Bacteria; Pseudomonadati; Bacteroidota. The record is from RNAcentral.